This 253-nucleotide ribosomal RNA is filed under the name uncultured bacterium. Its description in RNAcentral is "partial 16S ribosomal RNA". It matches the Rfam family "Bacterial small subunit ribosomal RNA", at positions 524 to 776 of the family's 1533-position model. The record is from RNAcentral.
UACGGAGGGUGCAAGCGUUAUCCGGAUUCACUGGGUUUAAAGGGUGCGUAGGCGGACUAGUAAGUCUGUUGUGAAAUCUCCGGGCUUAACCCGGAAAUUGCGGUGGAUACUAUUAGUCUUGAAUACUGUGGAGGUUAGCGGAAUAUGUCAUGUAGCGGUGAAAUGCAUAGAUAUGACAUAGAACACCAAUUGCGAAGGCAGCUGGCUACACAGAUAUUGACGCUGAGGCACGAAAGCGUGGGGAUCAAACAGG